This 557-nucleotide ribosomal RNA is filed under the name Aureobasidium thailandense. RNAcentral describes it as "partial large subunit ribosomal RNA". It matches the Rfam family "Eukaryotic large subunit ribosomal RNA", at positions 92 to 665 of the family's 3401-position model. Lineage: Eukaryota; Fungi; Ascomycota; Dothideomycetes; Dothideales; Saccotheciaceae. The record is from RNAcentral.
AGUGAAGCGGCAACAGCUCAAAUUUGAAAGCUGGCCUUCGGGUCCGCAUUGUAAUUUGUAGAGGAUGCUUUGGGGCAGCCGCCUGUCUAAGUUCCUUGGAACAGGACGUCAUAGAGGGUGAGAAUCCCGUAUGUGACAGGACAUGGCACCCUAUGUAAAGCUCCUUCGACGAGUCGAGUUGUUUGGGAAUGCAGCUCUAAAUGGGAGGUAAAUUUCUUCUAAAGCUAAAUACCGGCGAGAGACCGAUAGCGCACAAGUAGAGUGAUCGAAAGAUGAAAAGCACUUUGGAAAGAGAGUUAAAAAGCACGUGAAAUUGUUGAAAGGGAAGCGCUUGCAAUCAGACUUGUUUUGACUGUUCGGCCGGUCUUCUGACCGGUUUACUCAGUCUGGACAGGCCAGCAUCAGUUUUGGCGGCCGGAUAAAGGCUCAGGGAAUGUGGCUCUCACUUCGGUGGGAGUGUUAUAGCCCUGGGUGUAAUACGGCCAGCCGGGACUGAGGUCCGCGCUUCGGCUAGGAUGCUGGCGUAAUGGUUGUAAGCGACCCGUCUUGAACACGGA